GCCUUCAUGGUGAAAUGGUAGACACGCGAGACUCAAAAUCUCGCGCUGAAGAGCGUGGAGGUUCGAGUCCUCUUCAAGGCA
RNAcentral lists this transfer RNA (81 nucleotides) under Triticum aestivum (bread wheat). It matches the Rfam family "tRNA". Rfam says of the family: Transfer RNA (tRNA) molecules are approximately 80 nucleotides in length. The record is from Rfam by way of RNAcentral. Lineage: Eukaryota; Viridiplantae; Streptophyta; Magnoliopsida; Poales; Poaceae.